UUAAGCGACUAAGCGUACACGGUGGAUGCCCUGGCAGUCAGAGGCGAUGAAGGACGUGCUAAUCUGCGAUAAGCGUCGGUAAGGUGAUAUGAACCGUUAUAACCGGCGAUUUCCGAAUGGGGAAACCCAGUGUGAUUCGUCACACUAUCAUUAACUGAAUCCAUAGGUUAAUGAGGCGAACCGGGGGAACUGAAACAUCUAAGUACCCCGAGGAAAAGAAAUCAACCGAGAUUCCCCCAGUAGCGGCGAGCGAACGGGGAGGAGCCCAGAGCCUGAAUCAGUGUGUGUGUUAGUGGAAGCGUCUGGAAAGGCGCGCGAUACAGGGUGACAGCCCCGUACACAAAAAUGCACAUGCUGUGAGCUCGAUGAGUAGGGCGGGACACGUGGUAUCCUGUCUGAAUAUGGGGGGACCAUCCUCCAAGGCUAAAUACUCCUGACUGACCGAUAGUGAACCAGUACCGUGAGGGAAAGGCGAAAAGAACCCCGGCGAGGGGAGUGAAAAAGAACCUGAAACCGUGUACGUACAAGCAGUGGGAGCACNNNNNNNNNNGUGUGACUGCGUACCUUUUGUAUAAUGGGUCAGCGACUUAUAUUCUGUAGCAAGGUUAACCGAAUAGGGGAGCCGAAGGGAAACCGAGUCUUAACUGGGCGUUAAGUUGCAGGGUAUAGACCCGAAACCCGGUGAUCUAGCCAUGGGCAGGUUGAAGGUUGGGUAACACUAACUGGAGGACCGAACCGACUAAUGUUGAAAAAUUAGCGGAUGACUUGUGGCUGGGGGUGAAAGGCCAAUCAAACCGGGAGAUAGCUGGUUCUCCCCGAAAGCUAUUUAGGUAGCGCCUCGUGAAUUCAUCUCCGGGGGUAGAGCACUGUUUCGGCAAGGGGGUCAUCCCGACUUACCAACCCGAUGCAAACUGCGAAUACCGGAGAAUGUUAUCACGGGAGACACACGGCGGGUGCUAACGUCCGUCGUGAAGAGGGAAACAACCCAGACCGCCAGCUAAGGUCCCAAAGUCAUGGUUAAGUGGGAAACGAUGUGGGAAGGCCCAGACAGCCAGGAUGUUGGCUUAGAAGCAGCCAUCAUUUAAAGAAAGCGUAAUAGCUCACUGGUCGAGUCGGCCUGCGCGGAAGAUGUAACGGGGCUAAACCAUGCACCGAAGCUGCGGCAGCGACGCUGAUGCGUUGUUGGGUAGGGGAGCGUUCUGUAAGCCUGUGAAGGUGUACUGUGAGGUAUGCUGGAGGUAUCAGAAGUGCGAAUGCUGACAUAAGUAACGAUAAAGCGGGUGAAAAGCCCGCUCGCCGGAAGACCAAGGGUUCCUGUCCAACGUUAAUCGGGGCAGGGUGAGUCGACCCCUAAGGCGAGGCCGAAAGGCGUAGUCGAUGGGAAACAGGUUAAUAUUCCUGUACUUGGUGUUACUGCGAAGGGGGGACGGAGAAGGCUAUGUUGGCCGGGCGACGGUUGUCCCGGUUUAAGCGUGUAGGCUGGUUUUCCAGGCAAAUCCGGAAAAUCAAGGCUGAGGCGUGAUGACGAGGCACUACGGUGCUGAAGCAACAAAUGCCCUGCUUCCAGGAAAAGCCUCUAAGCAUCAGGUAACAUCAAAUCGUACCCCAAACCGACACAGGUGGUCAGGUAGAGAAUACCAAGGCGCUUGAGAGAACUCGGGUGAAGGAACUAGGCAAAAUGGUGCCGUAACUUCGGGAGAAGGCACGCUGAUAUGUAGGUGAAGUCCCUCGCGGAUGGAGCUGAAAUCAGUCGAAGAUACCAGCUGGCUGCAACUGUUUAUUAAAAACACAGCACUGUGCAAACACGAAAGUGGACGUAUACGGUGUGACGCCUGCCCGGUGCCGGAAGGUUAAUUGAUGGGGUCAGCGCAAGCGAAGCUCUUGAUCGAAGCCCCGGUAAACGGCGGCCGUAACUAUAACGGUCCUAAGGUAGCGAAAUUCCUUGUCGGGUAAGUUCCGACCUGCACGAAUGGCGUAAUGAUGGCCAGGCUGUCUCCACCCGAGACUCAGUGAAAUUGAACUCGCUGUGAAGAUGCAGUGUACCCGCGGCAAGACGGAAAGACCCCGUGAACCUUUACUAUAGCUUGACACUGAACAUUGAGCCUUGAUGUGUAGGAUAGGUGGGAGGCUUUGAAGUGUGGACGCCAGUCUGCAUGGAGCCGACCUUGAAAUACCACCCUUUAAUGUUUGAUGUUCUAACGUUGACCCGUAAUCCGGGUUGCGGACAGUGUCUGGUGGGUAGUUUGACUGGGGCGGUCUCCUCCUAAAGAGUAACGGAGGAGCACGAAGGUUGGCUAAUCCUGGUCGGACAUCAGGAGGUUAGUGCAAUGGCAUAAGCCAGCUUGACUGCGAGCGUGACGGCGCGAGCAGGUGCGAAAGCAGGUCAUAGUGAUCCGGUGGUUCUGAAUGGAAGGGCCAUCGCUCAACGGAUAAAAGGUACUCCGGGGAUAACAGGCUGAUACCGCCCAAGAGUUCAUAUCGACGGCGGUGUUUGGCACCUCGAUGUCGGCUCAUCACAUCCUGGGGCUGAAGUAGGUCCCAAGGGUAUGGCUGUUCGCCAUUUAAAGUGGUACGCGAGCUGGGUUUAGAACGUCGUGAGACAGUUCGGUCCCUAUCUGCCGUGGGCGCUGGAGAACUGAGGGGGGCUGCUCCUAGUACGAGAGGACCGGAGUGGACGCAUCACUGGUGUUCGGGUUGUCAUGCCAAUGGCACUGCCCGGUAGCUAAAUGCGGAAGAGAUAAGUGCUGAAAGCAUCUAAGCACGAAACUUGCCCCGAGAUGAGUUCUCCCUGACUCCUUGAGAGUCCUGAAGGAACGUUGAAGACGACGACGUUGAUAGGCCGGGUGUGUAAGCGCAGCGAUGCGUUGAGCUAACCGGUACUAAUGAACCGUGAGGCUUAACCUU
Molecule: ribosomal RNA, 2904 nt
Filed under: Escherichia coli
Lineage: Bacteria; Pseudomonadati; Pseudomonadota; Gammaproteobacteria; Enterobacterales; Enterobacteriaceae
Description: bacterial LSU rRNA
Rfam family: Bacterial large subunit ribosomal RNA
Source: RNAcentral